CUUGGUCAUUUAGAGGAAGUAAAAGUCGUAACAAGGUUUCCGUAGGUGAACCUGCGGAAGGAUCAUUAUCGAAUUAUAGGCAAAGGUUGUCGCUGGCCUCCUGGGGCAUGUGCACGCCCGAGCUCUUAAUCCAAAUUACACCUGUGAACUUAAUGUGGGAUGGUCUCCCUUCGGGGAAGCAAGUCUCAUGUCUUUCAUACACACACUUGUCUCAGAAUGUCUUACAUGUUGUUUGCUUUGAUGCAAUCAAAUAAAUAAAUACAACUUUCAACAACGGAUCUCUUGGCUCUCGCAUCGAUGAAGAACGCAGCGAAAUGCGAUAAGUAAUGUGAAUUGCAGAUUUUCAGUGAAUCAUCGAAUCUUUGAACGCACCUUGCGCUCCUUGGUAUUCCGAGGAGCAUGCCUGUUUGAGUGUCAUUAAAUUCUCAACUUUGCUUGUCUUUUCAAGCAAAGCUUGGAUUUUGGAGCGUGCUGGCGAAGGUCGGCUCCUCUUUAAAUACAUCAGCGGAAAGUCAUUUCAAAUGACUUUGACUUUUGCGGUGAAUCGGCGUGAUAAUAAAUGUUGUUGCGUCGUUGGCCCGAAGGUCUCUGUCCGCUUACAAUGGUCUUCGGACGACUUAUUACGAAACUUGACCUCAAAUCAGGUAGGACUACCCGCUGAACUUAAGCAUAUCAAUAAGCGGAGGAAAAGAAACUAACAAGGAUUCCCCUAGUAACUGCGAGUGAAGCGGGAAAAGCUCAAAUUUAAAAUCUGGCGGCCUGUAUGGUCGUCCGAGUUGUAAUCUGGAGAAGCGUUUUCUGUGUUGGACCGUGUACAAGUUUUCUGGAACGGAACGUCAUAGAGGGUGAGAAUCCCGUCUUUGACACGGACUACCAAUGCUUUGUGAUACGCUCUCGAAGAGUCGAGUUGUUUGGGAAUGCAGCUCAAAAUGGGUGGUAAAUUCCAUCUAAAGCUAAAUAUUGGCGAGAGACCGAUAGCGAACAAGUACCGUGAGGGAAAGAUGAAAAGCACUUUGGAAAGAGAGUUAAACAGUACGUGAAAUUGUUGAAAGGGAAACGUUUGAAGUCAGUCGCGUCGGUCGAGACUCAACCUUGCCGUUUGGUUUGGCGUACUUCUCGGUCGACGGGUCAACAUCAAUUUUGAUCGUCGGAUAAAGGCUUGGGGAAUGUGGCAUCUCUCGGGAUGUGUUAUAGCCCUGGGUUCGUAUACGGCGGUUGGGAUUGAGGAACUCAGCACGCCUUCAUUGGUCGGGGGUUCGCCCCACGCAACGUGCUUAGGAUGUUGGCAUAAUGGCUUUAAGCGACCCGUCUUGAAACACGGACC
RNAcentral lists this ribosomal RNA (1324 nucleotides) under uncultured fungus. Its description in RNAcentral is "eukaryotic LSU rRNA". The stretch from base 631 to 1324 matches the Rfam family "Eukaryotic large subunit ribosomal RNA", at positions 1 to 667 of the family's 3401-position model. The record is from RNAcentral. Lineage: Eukaryota; Fungi.